GCCCAUUAUAUUUGACGCUGAAUCUGAUGCAAUGGACGUAUAGCCAAUAAGAUUUCCGUCACGGGGAUGUCCCACAUGAAGGGGUUGUGGAAGGAGGGUGGGCUACAGGCCUAAGCGUAAACAUGAACAAUGGAUGCCGGCUGUCCAUGCGUAAAUGCGUAAUAGUGAGAGUGAGCGUAUAUCUCCAUUCCAGUGGUAUUUCCAGUGACCAGAGAGAUGGCGAAACGCAUGGAAAAGAAGAAUUACACUGUUGAAGAAGUUAUUGAAGAGUGUACGAGACGGGAAAGCGACUUUUCUGACGAGGAUGUGUCGGAUGCGCAAAGUUAUGUGUCGUCUGUUGACUCGGUGGAGGAGGACAUGUUCAUUGAAGGAGAAGAUAUUGUCCAUGACAAGCAAACUGAUUCAGAUACAGAGUGGGAGCCAAGCACCAGAGCCAGAGCAGCCUCCUACUCCCAGUGUACAACAUCACAAGCCAGUCUACAUCUCUGGUGACAGUAAGACACCCAUCAAGCUUUCUAGCUGUGCUUUGUAGCAGCCCGUGACUGUAACAGUGGCAUACUGAGAACAACAUGUGGCUGUGAAACCUGUGGAAUUGUAAACAUGUAAACAGUUUGCUGUAAGUAGUUUGGGUAUUUGUUUAGAUAAAGGUGUUGUUUUUGACCAUAUCUCUUGUUCUGAGUCUUUUCUUGUGAUGCACAAUUUCAGUUUCAGUAGAAUAAUGAGCAUUCAAUGUGUUUUUGCUUCACUAACAUUAUUUCAAUCAUACUAAUAGUGAAUCUGAAUAUGGAAUGAGGUUCCUCUAAGUGGCACCUUUCAUUAGAGCUCUCAUUGAUGUCUGUAUGUUGAAGCAUUCCAGAGUUAUGCACUUUGGUGCCAAAGUGUCCAUUUGGAGACUCCAAAUGGCACUUUUUGGAGAGCGCCUGGGAAUACCUACAGAAAAACCUGUCCCAAAUGGUCAUUUCUUGUCCAAUUACUAUCUACUUUUAACUGGGAAUAGGUAAGACUUCAGCCUGUGUCACUAUAUUGUCAUCUAAUCAACAUCACCAUGCUCCAGUUGUCAAGCAGCCUUUUUUUACAAAAAAAAUUUAGGCGAGCUACAAAAUCUUUUUAUUUCUCUGUGUUUAGACUUCUCUCACUGUUAACCAUUUGCAAUUGCAGUAAAUCACACAGCUAAAAUAAAAAUUUCAGAGUGUUACCUUCACAAUGAGACCAAGCUUUUGCACAUACUCCUAAGGGCUCACAAACAGCUUGUAGUUUAAUUUGGGUAUGCCUUUGACAGGCGUUUCAUCAACUAUUGAGGGUGGUGUUAAAGGGUUAAACUGUCA
Parambassis ranga (Indian glassy fish) is the source of this 1325-nucleotide long non-coding RNA. The record is from Ensembl. NCBI's taxonomy places the organism in Eukaryota, Metazoa, Chordata, Actinopteri, Ambassidae.